This 397-nucleotide ribosomal RNA is filed under the name uncultured bacterium. Its description in RNAcentral is "partial 16S ribosomal RNA". It matches the Rfam family "Bacterial small subunit ribosomal RNA", at positions 523 to 918 of the family's 1533-position model. The record is from RNAcentral.
AUACGUAGGGAGCGAGCGUUGUCCGGAAUUACUGGGUGUAAAGGGAGCGUAGGCGGGACUGCAAGUCAGAUGUGAAAUACCGGGGCUUAACCCCGGAGCUGCAUUUGAAACUGUGGUUCUUGAGUGAAGUAGAGGCAAGCGGAAUUCCUGGUGUAGCGGUGAAAUGCGUAGAUAUCAGGAGGAACACCGGUGGCGAAGGCGGGUAACUGGACUGCAACUGACGCUGAGGCGCGAAAGUGUGGGGAGCAAACAGGAUUAGAUACCCUGGUAGUCCACACGGUAAACGAUGAAUGCUAGGUGUAAGAGGUAUCGACCCCUUUUGUGCCGGAGUCAACACAAUAAGCAUUCCGCCUGGGGAGUACGGCCGCAAGGUUGAAACUCAAAGGAAUUGACGGGG